Molecule: small nuclear RNA, 106 nt
Filed under: Mus caroli (Ryukyu mouse)
Lineage: Eukaryota; Metazoa; Chordata; Mammalia; Rodentia; Muridae
Source: RNAcentral
GUGCUCGCUUCAGCAGCACAUAUACUAAAACUGGAACAUACAGAGAGGAUUAGCAUGGCCCCUGCACAAAGAUGACACAUAAAUUCGUGAAGCGGAAAAAACAAAA